Molecule: small nuclear RNA, 122 nt
Filed under: Tupaia belangeri chinensis (Chinese tree shrew)
Lineage: Eukaryota; Metazoa; Chordata; Mammalia; Scandentia; Tupaiidae
Description: Tupaia chinensis (Chinese tree shrew) U4 spliceosomal RNA
Rfam family: U4 spliceosomal RNA
About the family: U4 small nuclear RNA (U4 snRNA) is a component of the major U2-dependent spliceosome. The structure of U4 snRNA from yeast and human has been reported.
Source: Rfam by way of RNAcentral
AGCUUUGCGCAGUGGCAGUAUCAUAGCCAAUGAGGUUUAUCCGAGGCGCGAUUAUUGCUAAUUGGAAAAGAUGUGUCUUUUUUUUUUUUCUAUGUUUGAUUUUUUUGGUUUUUGCUAUCAGG